This 821-nucleotide ribosomal RNA is filed under the name uncultured Chryseobacterium sp. Its description in RNAcentral is "bacterial SSU rRNA". It matches the Rfam family "Bacterial small subunit ribosomal RNA", at positions 673 to 1513 of the family's 1533-position model. Lineage: Bacteria; Pseudomonadati; Bacteroidota; Flavobacteriia; Flavobacteriales; Weeksellaceae. The record is from RNAcentral.
GUGUAGCGGUGAAAUGCAUAGAUAUUACUUAGAACACCAAUUGCGAAGGCAGGUUACUAAGCAACAACUGACGCUGAUGGACGAAAGCGUGGGGAGCGAACAGGAUUAGAUACCCUGGUAGUCCACGCCGUAAACGAUGCUAACUCGUUUUUGGGCUUUCGGGUUCAGAGACUAAGCGAAAGUGAUAAGUUAGCCACCUGGGGAGUACGAACGCAAGUUUGAAACUCAAAGGAAUUGACGGGGGCCCGCACAAGCGGUGGAUUAUGUGGUUUAAUUCGAUGAUACGCGAGGAACCUUACCAAGGCUUAAAUGGAAAUGACAGGUUUAGAAAUAGACUUUUCUUCGGACAUUUUUCAAGGUGCUGCAUGGUUGUCGUCAGCUCGUGCCGUGAGGUGUUAGGUUAAGUCCUGCAACGAGCGCAACCCCUGUCACUAGUUGCCAUCAUUAAGUUGGGGACUCUAGUGAGACUGCCUACGCAAGUAGGAGGAAGGUGGGGAUGACGUCAAAUCAUCACGGCCCUUACGCCUUGGGCCACACACGUAGUACAAUGGCCGGUACAGAGGGCAGCUACACAGCGAUGUGAUGCAAAUCUCGAAAGCCGGUCUCAGUUCGGAUUGGAGUCUGCAACUCGACUCUAUGAAGCUGGAAUCGCUAGUAAUCGCGCAUCAGCAUGGCGCGGUGAAUACGUUCCCGGGCCUUGUACACACCGCCCGUCAAGCCAUGGAAGUCUGGGGUACCUGAAGUCGGUGACCGUAAGGAGCUGCCUAGGGUAAAACAGGUAACUAGGGCUAAGUCGUAACAAGGUAACCAAGGGCGAAUCG